Molecule: ribosomal RNA, 402 nt
Filed under: uncultured bacterium
Lineage: Bacteria
Description: bacterial SSU rRNA
Rfam family: Bacterial small subunit ribosomal RNA
Source: RNAcentral
UGGGGAAUUUUGGGCAAUGGGCGAAAGCCUGACCCAGCAACGCCGCGUGAGGGAUGAAGUAUUUCGGUAUGUAAACCUCGAAAGAAUGGGAAGAAUAAAUGACGGUACCAUUUAUAAGCUCCGGCUAACUACGUGCCAGCAGCCGCGGUAAUACGUAGGGAGCAAGCGUUGUUCGGAUUUACUGGGCGUCACGGGCGCGUAGGCGGCGCGGUAAGUCACUUGUGAAAUCUCUGAGCUUAACUCAGAACGGCCAAGUGAUACUGCUGUGCUAGAGUGCGGAAGAGGCAACCGGAAUUCUUGGUGUAGCAGUGAAAUGCGUAGAUAUCAAGAGGAACACCUGAGGCGAAGGCGGGUUGCUGGGCCGACACUGACGCUGAUGCGCGAAAGCCAGGGGAGCAAACG